This 387-nucleotide ribosomal RNA is filed under the name uncultured bacterium. RNAcentral describes it as "bacterial SSU rRNA". It matches the Rfam family "Bacterial small subunit ribosomal RNA", at positions 30 to 419 of the family's 1533-position model. The record is from RNAcentral.
AUUGAACGCUGGCGGAAUGCUUUACACAUGCAAGUCGAACGGCAGCACGGGGCAACCUGGUGGCGAGUGGCGAACGGGUGAGUAAUACAUCGGAACGUGCCCAAUCGUGGGGGAUAACGUAGCGAAAGUUACGCUAAUACCGCAUACGAUCUACGGAUGAAAGCGGGGGAUCGCAAGACCUCGCGCGAGUGGAGCGGCCGAUGUCAGAUUAGGUAGUUGGUGGGGUAAAGGCUCACCAAGCCAACGAUCUGUAGCUGGUCUGAGAGGACGACCAGCCACACUGGAACUGAGACACGGUCCAGACUCCUACGGGAGGCAGCAGUGGGGAAUUUUGGACAAUGGGCGCAAGCCUGAUCCAGCCAUUCCGCGUGCAGGAUGAAGGCCUUC